Molecule: long non-coding RNA, 7108 nt
Organism: Apus apus (common swift)
Lineage: Eukaryota; Metazoa; Chordata; Aves; Apodiformes; Apodidae
Exons: 5
Source: RefSeq, a predicted model, not a curated record
UAGAAAACUCAAGUCGAAUCACGGAUCACCCCCUCAGUUAGAGAAGGAAUAGCCCCCAGUUGGCUGGUUUUACUUUCCCAGUGGGUCUGUCUCGGGCUUGGGACCAGCUGGCUACACCAGAUCUCAGUAAAAAUUAGGAGCAACUCCAUACAUCCAUAGGAAAGUCCCUCACGUUCUUCUCUUCAAGCUAAUUUUAUAAAACUGCAUAAAAGAAGUUGGCAAUGAGAUCUUCUGUAAAGAAAUCCUGGAUCAUUUCAUUAUUACUGGAAAUAUAGUCAAGGGAAGGAGAGAUCGUCUGGAGUAUAAUUUUGCCGACCUUCCAUUGUAUGGUGACACACAAUUGCUGACAUCUACAGUCUUGCUUAAAUUCUGGUUUGUUUUGUGAUGCUCAGGGUCAAAGUUGGAAAAUUUACAAAGAAAGUAUAUUUGAGGAGAACAUAGAGAAAAAGCACUUUCUAAAAGUCCUGCAACUCAAAAGCAAUUGUGCAAGAUGGAACUACCAUAUGAAUCAUUGCAGAUGUUUACUGUGAGUAAAGCAGAUGCACAGAAUGUAAGUACGGGCAUCGCAUUUCUGUGUUUUCAUCUCUGAGGUAAUCUUCAUUUUCCCAAAUUAAUAUAUAUUGCAAUGGCUAUUCUGUAUCAUACUGAUUCCCUAGACAUGCACAAGAGACAUGAAGUGUCAGGCAAAGAUAGUAUCUUAGCAAAAGUUAAUGGUUAAAAUAGGAUCAAAACCAGAAAUCUCUCAAGAGCUCUUCAGUCAGAAAACAUCAACUCUAAGAUUGUAGCUGUGAAAAGGACUCCCUUAGUAAAGCAAUCAUACAGUGCAGGCAAAAGUCCUUUCAGUUUCUCCCAGGAGAUCCAGACAACAGUAUGAAGGAAAAGGAGGAAACGUAAAAGCGGCAAAGUGAGCUAACAAAGCAGUCCCCGGUUCCAUUAAUUUUUGUAACUUUUCACCCUAAAGCUAAUGAUCUCUGAUGCCAAAGGGUUAAAGUUAAGCAGUCCUGUAAAUGUUUUGCUCUUCUCAGUUUCUCACAUAAUUAUUAUCAGCAGAAAAAACAGUAAUAAUGUGUAACUUUGCUCCACUCCUUUUCACGUCCUUGGGUACAUCUUACUGCAAGGAAAACGAAUGAUACCUCAAAAAAAAAAUUACUCCUUCUGUCUUGCGUAUGGACAUGCAUUCCCCUCAGAGGCAGUUCCAAGCAAUGAUGGAAUCUUUAAUGAUGAACCAGUAUAUUGGGCUACCUGUCUUCCUGUGGGUCUUGUGGUCAUAACUUCAUCAGUGCCUACAGCUGAAAUAUAGAAUUGAAAGAACUCUUUAUUAUUACCUUCUGGGUUUUUUUUGCUUUGUAAAAUUUAUGUAAAGUUCUGCUAUAACACUGUUGAACAUAAAAAAAUGCAGUUGCAGAGUAUAAAGUGUUUGCUUUUAUGAAGCUUGUCCAUAAAAUAAAGGACUCACCUAGAUAAGCUUACAUGCAAACUUAACUCCUACACUGUGUAUAACUAUUAGAAGAAGCCAAGCUUUUCAGAUGAGAUGGCAUCUUCUAUUAGCUAGCUGAUAAAGUUUAAAAAUGUCAGAGAAGCUGACACAGUUCCUUCAUCAAACCAGACAAUAGAGCCAAGCUCCAUACCAAACAAAUGUUGGAAAUUGUACAAGCUUACAUCACUCUUCCUAUUGCCACAUGGGCAGUAAAUAUGUCUUGCACUAAAUUGUAACUUGUUUCAAAUAAAAAAUGACAUUUUAUUCCACAUUAACUUUUUUUGAAUACAGUAGUACAGAAGUUAAUUGUGUUAAGCAUUCCCUUCUGUAUUGCUCAUAUCUGCUUUGAAAUGUGAAAUACCUAAGUCACAAACCACGUAUCAGUGCAUGGUUUAAUUUGUCAAUAUAUAUACCAAAAGGAAGAACUAUUUAUCUAAGAAAAAAAUUACCUCUUCAGAACAGCAAGACACAAUAUAUCCCAGAAGCCACAGAGAAGAUACUCAGCACUUUGCACAUUGAAAAUUAAAAAUAUUGCACCAUGAUUUUUCUGGGAAAGGAAGAAAAAGCCUUUCUGAUACUGGAAUUAAAACUGUACAUAAAUGUUUACUAGAUUAAACUAUCCUCAAUUCCUGUAUUUAAAAUAAAUAAAUAAAUAAACAAGUAAUGCAAACACAGAGCUGUAUUUUAGGAAUGAAACUAUCUUCCACUCCUUGUAAGAGACAGUACCAAACCAUGCAAGAGAAAAUCUCCUACUCAGUUGAUCAUUCCUAAAACAGUUUUUCAGUAUGGAUCACAUAAUCAUGUAUCCCCACCAACAAAUGUAACAGAUAAAGUUUACAUUCCCUUUUCAUCCUCACUGAGGAGGGAGGCAGGCAGGCGGGGAAUAUUGAGGGAAACAUGAAAAAAAGGGGCAAUAUUCUACCUAGCAUAACCUUGCCCUUGACAUGUAGAAUCUCUUCUAGCUGGAGAGAGGCUUUGGGAGUGGUUUUUCACCACAAACCAUCUGUAAGCAGCUGUUCUCUGCCUAAAGCAGGCAGUUGCUCCUCCACCUCCUGUUGUAACUUGCAUGAGCUCUCCUGCAGAGCUCACUAAAGCACCUGGUUAAGGUUGUAAAUAGAGAGGAACUUCCAUCAUUUAUUGGAAGCUAUAAUUGUAAACCUGAAAUUAAGGGCUUGGAGGGAUUAUAGAAAAUCUUCGAGCUGCUUGAAAAAAUCAAUUAGUCCAUGAGGAAGGGCUGCAAAUAUUGGUAUUUCAGCUAGCUUUUUCUGUAUAACUCAUGAACAUUGCCUGUCAAAUCCCAUAUUCUUCACUCAGACAAACUUCUGUUGAGGAAAUGGAAUUUUGCCUGAGGAAGGACUGAACAGUCUUCUGCAGUUAAUCCUGUAAACCUGUACUGAAGGAUUUGUGGUCAUGAUAAUGCUACCUACAAUAUCUUUGCUUUCUUUAACUGCCUUUUAUGGAUCACUUAGAGGAAUCCCGUAAGAGUUUCUGGGUGAGAAAGCUGAAAACAAUUGCUAAUUUCAGUUAUUUCCUUUUAAGUACUGAAACUCUUGACAAAUGUAGUCCAUUGGCUAAGUAAUUUUUUUUUUUUUUAAUUAACAGCAAAAGACAGGAUUUUUAUAUUCUUACUUGCCCUCUGACAGGAAACUUUACUGUGGGUCUAUUCCUGCAAUGAAGUACUACAAGAUAAAUACUACAAGAGUACUAUCAUGCAACUUCAAAUUACUGCUGUUCCUUAUUAAUACUGUGUGCAUCAGAUAAGUAUCAGCUGUAUUGGAGAGGAACAGGACCUUGAAAGUGUCCUGACCUGGAUUUUACCAGUGCUGGGUAGAUUCCUAUUAUUGCUCACAAAUGAACGAAACAGAUUGUGUUUACUCUCUGUUGGAGGCACAGCACAGUGUGUUAUUGCUAUGUCUAAUGACACCAUUUGCUCAGGGCAGAACCAGACAAAAAUAAAUUGGCUGAGAUUAAUCGAACACACUUCAACUUCACAGGCCCACUAGUGUCAGAAGAAGCAAUAGAUGAAAAAAAGUAUAUCCAAGACUUCAGGAUGCAGAAAAUUCAGCUAAAGUGCUCUGAGAGAACCCAGUUCCUAUUUUACCCACAUAAGAGGUGUCUUGGUCAGAUUCCAAUCCAGUCAACUGCAUGAAGUCCAAGUCUUUCCUACAACAUGAAAGAGCAGAUACUUCUGGGAUGAUCUAAUAUUGCAAUGGGCACAGUGUAAAACCCUGAAUAGAGACCUCUCUAAUACCUGAAACCAUGCAUCUGUAUCAUGAUCAUGAAACAUAUUUAGUUUUUCUGUGUUUUGUUGAAGGAGCUGGGCUAAUUUCUGCACAGCUAGGGCUGUUGAGGACAGCAGUAAUGCUGUUAUGUGUCAAUUAAACAAUAGUCAAACCACUCUCUUUCAGUGGCACUUAAAAAGAAGUGUGAAUAAUUCCAAGUAGAAGGCCUAAAAGUAUCCUUAGGAACCUAAAUUAAUGGACUUUUGAAAGUUCUAAUUUAGUUGUUGCUAUUAAGCAUCGUAGAAAAUCAAGCUGCCAAUUUGUAUACUUUUACACAUAAAAUAUACAGAUGAACAUGUGUGUAUGCAUAUACCCAUCGUUCUCUGUUCUUCCUGUCUUCAUUCAUCAAAAAUGAUAUGUUGGAGAAAAUGCAAGAGAAUGGAUGAACUCAAAAAAUGGCAGGAUGGGAAGGAUCAGCUCCACAUAACAUAGAUGACAGUGGAUUCCUGGAUACCAUGUACUUCAUUAGAGCAUUUUCAAAGAUUGGUAAUCUAAGAAGAACUCUGCAUAUCAGACAGAACCAUCCAGUAAAGAACACAUCUGAGUCCCAGUUUUCUGUCAUUUGCAGGGAAGCCUAGAAAAAUAUCCCAUCUCAUUGCCUCACAAAAUGUUUUAUGGCUUGAAGCUUCUCAAAUCAGAAGGAAAACAAAAGUCACGUUUACUGGACAGCCAGCAUGCUGGUAUGAGCACUCCAUCCCAACAAAAUCCACACAGGAUCACAGGAGGAGCAGACCAAGAGAGGAGCCGCUGAACUACCUUUAACUAAUUGCAGUGUUUCAGAUAUCAUGGGCAAAUCCUGCAGAGAGGCUACUGAUUCUCAUCCCUGCUAUAAGACUGAAAUACCAGCCACCAAAGAGAUACAUUGUGCUUUAAUGCAGAAUGAUGGAAAUGUCACUUCACCUGUCAUUUUGCAUUCUGCUCAUCUACGGCCCCAAAUCUGAGGCCUGUGUCCUGGCUUGAGCCACUGUUUGACUUGGGUUUGAGAACAGUGCUCUUGAUCCCCUUCCCCUCCCACCCAGGUAGGGAAGGAGAGAAAAAGAGAGAGACUUUGCUGGAUUGAAAACUAAAUUACACAACAACUGAGAAGGAGAUACUUGCAGCAUAUAAAGGACUUAGAGCCUCUUCAGAAGUGAUCGGCACUGAAGCGCAGCUCCUCCUGGUGCCCAGGUUACCAGUGCUCAGAUUCAUGUUCCAGAACAACCUUUCUCCUGUCCAUCCUGCCACCGAUGUGACUUGGAGUAGAUGGACUGCUUUAAUCACCCAGUGAGCUCGAAUAGGAAGGCCUAAUCGUCCAGGUAUUGUUGAAGCAAUUACAAACUGGCCAGAAGGCACCCACUUUGGAAUGCCACCACAAGAAGUGGUGAGACAGGCUCAAGAAGCUCCACCAUAUGAUCAUCUACCAGAGACUGAGAAACAAUUUGCUCUUUUCACCGAUGGCUCCUGUCGUCUUGUAGGGAACCACCAGAAGUGGAAAGCUGCUGUGUGGAGUCCUACACGACUGGUUGCUCAAGCAGCUGAAGGAGAAGGCAGAGGUAAAAGCCAUCCAGCUGGCUUUGGACAUUGCUGAAUGAGAGGGGUGGCUGAGACUCUCUCUCUGCACUGACUCUUGGAUGACAGCAAAUGCCUUGUGGGGUUGGCUGAAGCAGUGGCAGCAGAACAACUGGCAGUGAAAGGGUAAACCUGUUUGUGUUGCUGAGCUGUGGAAAGACAUUGCGGCUCGGAUAGAGAAACUGGUGGUGAAAGUGUGUCAUGUAGAUGCACACGUGCCUCUGAGUCGAGCCACUGAGGAACAUCAAUGCAACCAAUGAGCAGAUGAGGCUGCUCAAGUGUUCCAAGUAGACUUAGACUGGGAACAUAAGGGUGAGCUCUUUCUGGCUCGAUGGGCUCAUGACACUUCAGGUCAUCAGGUCAGAGAUGUAACAUACAGAUGGGCUCGUGACUGAGGGGUGGACUUAACCAUGGACACUAUCGCACAGGUGAUCCACGACUGUGAGAUGUGUGCUGCAAUUAAGCAGGUGAAAUGGUUGAAACCAUUGUGGUAUGAGGAGACAUGGUCAAAGUACAGAUGUGGGGAGGCCUGGCAAAUUGACUACAUCACAGUGCCUCAGAUCUGCCAGGGUAAGAGCUAUGUGCUUACAAUGGUGGAAACAAGUACAGGAUGGUUGGAAACGUAUCCUGUGCCUCAUGCCAGAGCCUGGAAUACUGUCCUGGGCCUGGAGAAGCAAAUCUUGUGGAGACAUGGUACUCCAGAAAGAGUUGGGUCAGACAAUGGGACUCAUUUCAAAAACAGUGUUGUGACUGACUGGGCUAAAGAACAUGGUAUUGAGUGGAUAUACCAUCCCCUGUACCAUGCACAAGCCUCAGGGAAAGGUACAAUGGUUUGUUGAAAGCUACCCUGACGGCAAUGGGUGGUGGAACUUUCAAAAACUGGGACAAAAAUUUUGCAAAGGCCACUUGGUUAGUUAAUACCAGGGGAUCCAUCAAUUGGGCUGGUCCUGCUCAGUCAGACCUUUUACACACUGCAGAUGGGGAUAAAGCCCCUGGGGUAUGUGAAAGGAACCUGCUGGGUAAAAGCGUUUGGGUCUAUCCUGCUUCAGGCAAAGGUAAAGCUGUCUGGGGUAUUGCUUUUGCUCAGGGACCUGGACAUACCUGGUGUGUGUUGAUGGAGGAUGGUGAAGUACAAUGUGUACCUCAAGGUAACUUGACUCUGGGGGAGAAUCCUUAAUUUGACAGCUGGUAAAAUAUAGACCCUAUAUGUAAUAUAUGUUGUGGAAUAGGGUUGGAAUGUCCUGGUUUGAGCCAGGAUAAAGGCAAUUUUCCUUUUGUUAAAUAAGCUUUCUUUUAACUAGUACCAGAGUGUUCCAACCAAGACUGGUAAGAGUGGAAUGUUUUUCUAACUGCUGGGGCUUCAAGGUCACAUCUUCACUCUGCUGGCUCAGACACUAUGGGGAGAUCUAUGACCCCCCAUAGGAGGCUGAGUUAGACAGACAGCAAAACUGGCCAGAGAUAUUCCAUUCCAUAUAUCUACGUAAGCUCAGAGGAAGGUCAGAGAUCACAGAAGACAACUUCCUUCCUGCUUCUUCUUCCCUUCUCUUCCAUCCAUGGCUGGCAUCCAGGGAUGACUCAGUCCAUCCAUCACCAUCAACCCCCAGGCUCGAGCUCUCCUGACCCUCAUCACUCUCUGCUUUCUCCAGCAGCUCCGGGACUUGUCAGGACUGUUCCAGCUCAGGAGAUGCUAUGGGAGUUGCUGGGGGUGGGGGAGGCGAGAGGCUUUUAUCUGAACAUAUUUGUAUAUAAUUGUAUAUAUUUUCUUAUAUCAUUAGUAUUUAAUUAAAGCUGUUUCAAUCCA